AGUGAACGCUGGCGGUAGGCCUAACACAUGCAAGUCGAACGGCAGCACAGUAAGAGCUUGCUCUUACGGGUGGCGAGUGGCGGACGGGUGAGGAAUACAUCGGAAUCUACUUUUUCGUGGGGGAUAACGUAGGGAAACUUACGCUAAUACCGCAUACGACCUACGGGUGAAAGCAGUGGAUCUUCGGACCUUGCGCGACUGAAUGAGCCGAUGUCGGAUUAGCUAGUUGGCGGGGUAAAGGCCCAACAAGGCGACGAUCCGUAGCUGGUCUGAGAGGAUGAUCAGCCACACUGGAACUGAGACACGGUCCAGACUCCUACGGGAGGCAGCAGUGGGGAAUAUUGGACAAUGGGCGCAAGCCUGAUCCAGCCAUACCGCGUGGGUGAAGAAGGCCUUCGGGUUGUAAAGCCCUUUUGUUGGGAAAGAAAAGCAGCAGGUUAAUACCCCGCUGCUCUGACGGUACCCAAAGAAUAAGCACCGGCUAACUUCGUG
This 492-nucleotide ribosomal RNA is filed under the name uncultured bacterium. RNAcentral describes it as "partial 16S ribosomal RNA". It matches the Rfam family "Bacterial small subunit ribosomal RNA", at positions 29 to 507 of the family's 1533-position model. The record is from RNAcentral.